Molecule: microRNA precursor, 78 nt
Organism: Anolis carolinensis (green anole)
Lineage: Eukaryota; Metazoa; Chordata; Lepidosauria; Squamata; Anolidae
Source: Ensembl
UCCUCCAGAUAUUGUUGGAUUGCAGCUCCCAUAGCCAGAUGUGUGGGAUUAUUGGAGUGUAGUCCAGCAACAUUUAGU